This 253-nucleotide ribosomal RNA is filed under the name uncultured bacterium. RNAcentral describes it as "partial 16S ribosomal RNA". It matches the Rfam family "Bacterial small subunit ribosomal RNA", at positions 524 to 776 of the family's 1533-position model. The record is from RNAcentral.
UACGUAGGGUGCAAGCGUUGUCCGGAAUUAUUGGGCGUAAAGAGCUCGUAGGCGGCUUGUCGCGUCGGCUGUGAAAACCUGGGGCUCAACCCCGGGCCUGCAGCCGAUACGGGCAAGCUAGAGUUCGGUAGGGGAGACUGGAAUUCCUGGUGUAGUGGUGAAAUGCGCAGAUAUCAGGAGGAACACCGGUGGCGAAGGCGGGUCUCUGGGCCGAUACUGACGCUGAGGAGCGAAAGCGUGGGGAGCGAACAGG